Molecule: ribosomal RNA, 585 nt
Filed under: Pseudomonas sp.
Lineage: Bacteria; Pseudomonadati; Pseudomonadota; Gammaproteobacteria; Pseudomonadales; Pseudomonadaceae
Description: bacterial SSU rRNA
Rfam family: Bacterial small subunit ribosomal RNA
Source: RNAcentral
UACCGCAUACGUCCUACGGGAGAAAGCAGGGGACCUUCGGGCCUUGCGCUAUCAGAUGAGCCUAGGUCGGAUUAGCUAGUUGGUGAGGUAAUGGCUCACCAAGGCGACGAUCCGUAACUGGUCUGAGAGGAUGAUCAGUCACACUGGAACUGAGACACGGUCCAGACUCCUACGGGAGGCAGCAGUGGGGAAUAUUGGACAAUGGGCGAAAGCCUGAUCCAGCCAUGCCGCGUGUGUGAAGAAGGUCUUCGGAUUGUAAAGCACUUUAAGUUGGGAGGAAGGGCAGUAAGCUAAUACCUUGCUGUUUUGACGUUACCGACAGAAUAAGCACCGGCUAACUCUGUGCCAGCAGCCGCGGUAAUACAGAGGGUGCAAGCGUUAAUCGGAAUUACUGGGCGUAAAGCGCGCGUAGGUGGUUCGUUAAGUUGGAUGUGAAAGCCCCGGGCUCAACCUGGGAACUGCAUCCAAAACUGGCGAGCUAGAGUAUGGUAGAGGGUGGUGGAAUUUCCUGUGUAGCGGUGAAAUGCGUAGAUAUAGGAAGGAACACCAGUGGCGAAGGCGACCACCUGGACUGAUACUGACACU